This 253-nucleotide ribosomal RNA is filed under the name uncultured bacterium. RNAcentral describes it as "partial 16S ribosomal RNA". It matches the Rfam family "Bacterial small subunit ribosomal RNA", at positions 524 to 776 of the family's 1533-position model. The record is from RNAcentral.
UACGGAGGAUCCAAGCGUUAUCCGGAAUCAUUGGGUUUAAAGGGUCCGUAGGCGGUUUUGUAAGUCAGUGGUGAAAGCCCAUCGCUCAACGGUGGAACGGCCAUUGAUACUGCAAGACUUGAAUUAUUAGGAAGUAACUAGAAUAUGUAGUGUAGCGGUGAAAUGCUUAGAGAUUACAUGGAAUACCAAUUGCGAAGGCAGGUUACUACUAGUGGAUUGGCGCUGAUGGACGAAAGCGUGGGGAUCAAACAGG